RNAcentral lists this long non-coding RNA (583 nucleotides) under Homo sapiens (human). RNAcentral's name for it is "BBOX1 antisense RNA 1". Lineage: Eukaryota; Metazoa; Chordata; Mammalia; Primates; Hominidae. The record is from RNAcentral.
AGUUUGAUCUCAGACUGCUGUGCUAGCAAUCAGCGAGACUCCGUGGGCGUAGGACCCUCCGAGCCAGAUGAAGAUCCUGAAUACCAAAGAGGGCCGCUGACAGGUCUAGGAGUACACUUCUAGCACCUAGCAGAGAGAGGCUUCACUACAUCAUGCUUCCUGACAUCUCUCCCUUUGAAGAGCAGUCAGACUCCUGCUUUGCUCUUCAGACUUAAUUUGGGGGUUUAACAGCCAUGUGAAGUGCUCACUCCCCCUUUGCCUUCUGCCAUGAUUGUGUGUUUCCUGAGGCCUCCCCAGAAGCUGAGAAGAUGCUUCCUGUACAGCCUGCAGAACUGGAUAGCCCAGAGCUAUUCCAUGUAUUCCAUGGAUGGGCACAUUUGGAAGUUUGGUUCUAAAAUCUAAAAGAAGAAAUUUAAGUGUGCUGAAGAUAACUGCAACUCCAAACCUAACGCUGUGUAAUUCUAUGUUCUGCCAUUUUGAAGCAAAGUGGAACCAGAAGUGAGAGGACUAUUUCUAGGUCAUGCUACGGUUACCCUGACCCCAGUCACUCCCUAUGCUGGUCCAUCCAAACUCAGAGCCACGA